CCCCAGCCUCAUUCUUAGCCCACAGCCAACUGAGAACUGGUGAUUCCCCAUCUCUUAGGAAGGCUGCUAGACUCAUGCAAGUCAUUUGUAGGAGCUGUGCAAUUUGUCAUCCAUUCUGAACAUUUUUGAGAAUGAAAGGGAGCACGUUCAAUAAUUUUCCUGGGACCACAGUUGUAACCUGGGACUCUCCUGGGGAAUUGAUGUUACUUAAGAUGGUGGUUUGCAAACUUUACCACGCAUAAGG
RNAcentral lists this long non-coding RNA (244 nucleotides) under Homo sapiens (human). RNAcentral's name for it is "non-protein coding lnc-EMX2-7:2". The record is from RNAcentral. Lineage: Eukaryota; Metazoa; Chordata; Mammalia; Primates; Hominidae.